RNAcentral lists this ribosomal RNA (675 nucleotides) under Heterotrissocladius marcidus. Its description in RNAcentral is "eukaryotic LSU rRNA". It matches the Rfam family "Eukaryotic large subunit ribosomal RNA", at positions 645 to 1256 of the family's 3401-position model. The record is from RNAcentral. Lineage: Eukaryota; Metazoa; Arthropoda; Insecta; Diptera; Chironomidae.
UGACCCGUUCUGAAACACGAACCAAGGAGUCUAUCUAGUAUGCAAGUAAAUGAGCAUAAUAAACUUAUUUGCAGAAAAAACUUGACUGUUAUGGGACUACGAGUCGCAUUUAGGUGUGGCUCCUCCAUCCCGGGGUAUUUUCAUCAACAUAUGCAGCAAUGUAUAUGGAAAAUAUACCAUGAGCAUACUGGAUAUGACCCGAAAGAUGGUGAACUAUGCCUGAUCAGGUUGAAGUCAGGGGAAACCCUGAUGGAGGACCGAAGCAAUUCUGACGUGCAAAUCGAUUGUCAGAAUUGGGCAUAGGGGCGAAAGACCAAUCGAACCAUCUAGUAGCUGGUUCCUUCCGAAGUUUCCCUCAGGAUAGCUGGAGCAUAGAAAUAUCUUUUUCUAACUCAUACCUGGUAAAGCGAAUGAUUAGAGGCCUUAGGAACGAAAUGUUCUUAACCUAUUCUCAAACUUUAAAUGGGUAUGUAAGCUAACAUACUUGAUUGAUGUUGGCCUGGUGGUAGAUGAAAGUCUAUCUGUAAGAUUGUAUGCGCCCAGUGGGCCAAGUUUUGGUAAGCAGAACUGGUGCUGCGGGAUGAACCGAACGCAUUGUUAAGGCGCCCAAAUAAACGACGCAUCAUCGAUACCAUGAAAGGUGUUGAUUGCGAAGACAGCAGGUCGGGUGCCCCA